AUGGCAUCUUACUAAUAGUAUUUGAUAAAGAAUUUUCUAAUACUGUUAGGUAAAGAUGCCAGC
This 63-nucleotide microRNA precursor is filed under the name Schistosoma japonicum. RNAcentral's name for it is "mir-8/mir-141/mir-200 microRNA precursor family". The record is from Rfam by way of RNAcentral. Lineage: Eukaryota; Metazoa; Platyhelminthes; Trematoda; Strigeidida; Schistosomatidae.